AUUGAACGCUGGCGGCAGGCCUAACACAUGCAAGUCGAGCGGUAGAGAGAAGCUUGCUUCUCUUGAGAGCGGCGGACGGGUGAGUAAAGCCUAGGAAUCUGCCUGGUAGUGGGGGAUAACGUUCGGAAACGGACGCUAAUACCGCAUACGUCCUACGGGAGAAAGCAGGGGACCUUCGGGCCUUGCGCUAUCAGAUGAGCCUAGGUCGGAUUAGCUAGUUGGUGAGGUAAUGGCUCACCAAGGCGACGAUCCGUAACUGGUCUGAGAGGAUGAUCAGUCACACUGGAACUGAGACACGGUCCAGACUCCUACGGGAGGCAGCAGUGGGGAAUAUUGGACAAUGGGCGAAAGCCUGAUCCAGCCAUGCCGCGUGUGUGAAGAAGGUCUUCGGAUUGUAAAGCACUUUAAGUUGGGAGGAAGGGCAUUAACCUAAUACGUUAGUGUUUUGACGUUACCGACAGAAUAAGCACCGGCUAACUCUGUG
This 484-nucleotide ribosomal RNA is filed under the name uncultured bacterium. RNAcentral's name for it is "partial 16S ribosomal RNA". It matches the Rfam family "Bacterial small subunit ribosomal RNA", at positions 30 to 507 of the family's 1533-position model. The record is from RNAcentral.